This 328-nucleotide ribosomal RNA is filed under the name Thalassiosira minuscula. RNAcentral describes it as "partial Eukaryotic large subunit ribosomal RNA". It matches the Rfam family "Eukaryotic large subunit ribosomal RNA", at positions 1 to 331 of the family's 3401-position model. Lineage: Eukaryota; Bacillariophyta; Thalassiosirophyceae; Thalassiosirales; Thalassiosiraceae. The record is from RNAcentral.
AUCUCUAUUGAAGCAAGAAGACCCCCUGAAUUUAAGCAUAUAAUUAAGGGGAGGAAAAGAAACCAACUCGGAUUCCCCUAGUAAUGGCGAGUGAAGCGGGAAGAGCUCAUGUUGUAAAUCUCCAGCUUGCUGGCGAAUUGUAGUCUAAAGGUGCGUGCUCAGUCGUGGUCCCGGGCUAAGUCUGUUGGAAAACAGCAUCAUGGACGGUGACAAUCCGGUUCUUGCCUGGGGUCCCGCGGCGUACGAGCCGUUUCCGACGAGUCGUGUUGCUUGGGAUUGCAGCACUAAGUGGGUGGUAAAUUCCAUCUAAAGCUAAAUAUUGGUGGGA